GUGAGGAAUAUUGGUCAAUGGACGAGAGUCUGAACCAGCCAAGUAGCGUGCAGGAUGACGGCCCUAUGGGUUGUAAACUGCUUUUAUCAGGGAAUAAAGUGCGGCACGUGUGCCGUUUUGUAUGUACCUGACGAAUAAGGACCGGCUAAUUCCGUGCCAGCAGCCGCGGUAAUACGGAAGGUCCGGGCGUUAUCCGGAUUUAUUGGGUUUAAAGGGAGCGUAGGCCGGAUAUUAAGCGUGUUGUGAAAUGCAGGUGCUCAACGUCUGCACUGCAGCGCGAACUGGUAUCCUUGAGUGCGCUGGAAGUCGGCGGAAUUCGUCGUGUAGCGGUGAAAUGCUUAGAUAUGACGAAGAACUCCGAUUGCGAAGGCAGCUGACUGUAGCGUUACUGACGCUGAAGCUCGAAGGUGCGGGUAUCGAACAGGAUUAGAAACCCCAGUAGUCC
Molecule: ribosomal RNA, 445 nt
Filed under: uncultured bacterium
Lineage: Bacteria
Description: bacterial SSU rRNA
Rfam family: Bacterial small subunit ribosomal RNA
Source: RNAcentral